Molecule: ribosomal RNA, 253 nt
Filed under: uncultured bacterium
Lineage: Bacteria
Description: partial 16S ribosomal RNA
Rfam family: Bacterial small subunit ribosomal RNA
Source: RNAcentral
UACGAAGGGGGCUAGCGUUGCUCGGAAUCACUGGGCGUAAAGGGUGCGUAGGUGGCGCUGUAAGUCGGGUGUGAAAUUUCGGAGCUUAACUCCGAAACUGCAUUCGAUACUGCGGUGCUUGAGGACUGGAGAGGAGACUGGAAUUCAUGGUGUAGCAGUGAAAUGCGUAGAGAUCAUGAGGAAGACCAGUGGCGAAGGCGGGUCUCUGGACAGUUCCUGACACUGAGGCACGAAGGCCAGGGGAGCAAACGGG